Molecule: small RNA, 938 nt
Filed under: Pongo abelii (Sumatran orangutan)
Lineage: Eukaryota; Metazoa; Chordata; Mammalia; Primates; Hominidae
Description: processed transcript
Source: RNAcentral
GGCUCAUCUUCGCCCAGCCAGGACACGCAGGAUCGCGUUACCUGUCCCUCCCGCGGGCACGUUGGGAGUUGUAGUCUUAUUAUGUAUUUCCGCCCUUAGUGUGGGGAGAGCGGGAACUACUCGACCCACAGAGCCGAUCGCGGAGCGGAUUCUGCUUUUAGGAGUACCCGCCAACAAGCGGGACCGAGCAGGAAUCAGCAUCUGGGAACAGAAUGAACGGAGACCAGAAAUCAGAUGUUUAUGCCCAAGAAAAGCAGGAUUUUGUUCAGCACUUCUCCCAGAUCGUUAGGAUGCUGACUGAGGAUGAGAUGGGGCACCCAGAGACAGGAGAUGCUAUUGCCCGGCUCAAGGAGGUCCUGGAGUACAAUGCCAUUGGAGGCAAGUAUCACCGGGGUUUGACGGUGGUAGUAGCAUUCCGGGAGCUGGUGCAGCCAAGGAAACAGGAUGCUGAUAGUCUCCAGCGGGCCCGGACUGUGGGCUGGUGUGUGGAACUGCUGCAAGCUUUCUUCCUGGUGGCAGAUGACAUCAUGGAUUCAUCCCUCACCCGCCGGGGACAGAUCUGCUGGUAUCAGAAGCCAGGCGUGGGUUUGGAUGCCAUCAAUGAUGCUAACCUCCUGGAAGCAUGUAUCUACCGCCUGCUGAAGCUCUAUUGCCGGGAGCAGCCCUAUUACCUGAACCUGAUUGAGCUCUUCCUGCAGAGUUCCUAUCAGACUGAGAUUGGGCAGACUCUGGACCUCAUCACAGCCCCCCAGGGCAAUGUGGAUCUUGUCAGAUUCACUGAAAAGAGGUACAAAUCUAUUGUCAAGUACAAGACAGCUUUCUACUCCUUCUACCUUCCUAUAGCUGCAGCCAUGUACAUGGCAGGAAUUGAUGGCGAGAAGGAGCAUGCCAAUGCCAAGAAGAUCCUGCUGGAGAUGGGGGAGUUCUUUCAGAUUCAG